This 222-nucleotide ribosomal RNA is filed under the name uncultured bacterium. RNAcentral describes it as "partial 16S ribosomal RNA". It matches the Rfam family "Bacterial small subunit ribosomal RNA", at positions 113 to 334 of the family's 1533-position model. The record is from RNAcentral.
CGACGUAAAGAACUUGCCUCACAGCUAGGGACAACAUUUAGAAAUGAAUGCUAAUACCUGAUAUUAUGAUUUUAAGGCAUCUUAGAAUUAUGAAGGCUAUAAGCACUGUGAGAGAGCUUUGCGUCCCAUUAGCUAGUUGGAGAGGUAACAGCUCACCAAGGCGAUGAUGGGUAGCCGGCCUGAGAGGGUGAACGGCCACAAGGGGACUGAGACACGGCCCUU